Molecule: long non-coding RNA, 2711 nt
Organism: Ahaetulla prasina
Lineage: Eukaryota; Metazoa; Chordata; Lepidosauria; Squamata; Colubridae
Exons: 3
Source: RefSeq, a predicted model, not a curated record
GUAACAAUACGAGGUGGCAUUCUAAUGAAUUUGUUCCAUGUGUUUCACGAGUUGCCUUCUUGAAUCUGAGAAGCCUCCUUCUAUUUUGGUUCAGCCUCUCUAUGAAGAGACUCUGCAUUUGGGAAGGCAGAAUUCCAAUUCAAGCACGAUUAGAAAUAUCAGGAAGUAUCUAUUGACCUUGAAUGAGUUUAAAUAUGCAGGAUUGGAUGGUUUGCACUUAGGUUACAGAUAGUUUGGCAGAAUCUUUAGGUAUUCUCUUUGAGAAAUUUUGCAGAACAGGAGAAAAACCAGAUGACUUGGAAAAAGGCAAAUGUUCAUAUCUUGAACAGGGAGGGAAUGAGAACUGGGGAACUACAUACUUUUUCAAGGCCAGCCUUGUCAGACUAAAUCUUAAUUGUUUAUUUAUGAUUCCAAUAGAGGUAAUGAAAAUGCUAUGGACACGCUAUUUCUUGAUAUUUGACAAAGUACAUGUCCGCCUUCCAAGGUAGACCAAAUUUGGAAACCAAAAACAUACCAGGCUGGCAAACUAUUUUGAUCUUGCAGAUCUCCAAGAGAGUCUUGGGGGACCAUAAAGUUGCCAAAGCUGAGAAACAGUUCUUGGAAGACAGAAAAUUCAACAUUAUAUUGGAAUCAACAUGGGAAUCUCUGGCUGCGAUUCUGAAGUCCUAUCCUCAGUGUUUGCCUUCUGAAAGUCAACUUUAUUAUUAUUUAUCAAAUGUAUUAUUUAUCAAAUGUAUUGGUUGCCCGUCUUUAAAAUGAGUUAUAUUUGGAAUUGUGUUUAUUUUAACUUUAGGUUUUUCAAUAAUAGCCAGUGAUCUACUGUUGAAGGAAAUAAAUCAAUUCUAUGUAUAAACAGGAUAUUUUAUGAAAUUAGUGUAUGUUUACAAAUUGUAUAGCUUUGAGUCAUGUAUUUGUAUAAAAUGCAGAGUAGGAACUGAAGAGCUCUUAUAUAUCAACAUUCCUCUUAAAAAUAUGGAUCACAAAGACAUUCAUUUAGAAACACAUCCCACUGAAUUCAGUUGAAAAUAUUUUCAAGUGACUUUAGAAUUUACUGCAGGUAAACAACUCUAUCCAUAAUCACAGCACUCCAUACUGCCUACCAAAAUUAUACCUUUCUAUCAACUUUUAUCCAACUGAUAUAAUUACUGUGGUAGAGCAAUAUUGCAAUAGGGACUCAAGUGAAUGGUUACUGUAUGCUACAAGCCAGAAUUUAGUCAAUUAUUUACCUAGGCAUUUGAUGAUCUGUUUGUUGUAACUUUUUAAGUUGUGUUCAUUGAUCAUAUUACAUCAUUAUAGGUAGUCCACAAUUACCGUGCUUCCCUGAAAAUAAGACCCUGUCGUAUAAUUUUUUGAACCCCGAAAUAAGCCCUUGGCCUUAUUUUUAGGGAGGUCUUAUUAUUUUGGAGCGCAUGGAACAAGACAGGGGUUCUUUUGCUGUCUUACCUGAUUUCCAGCUCUGUCUCUCUAACCCUAACCAGAGGAAAUGGCGGGGACCGGCUGUGCAUGCAUUUAAAUAUUUUCAGGGGGGCUUAUUUUAGCACAUGCGCUCAAAAGCCCAAUUGGGCUUAUUAUCGGGGAUGUCUUAUUUUGGGGAAAACAUGGUAUAAUUGUUCAUUUAAUGACAGUUCAAAGUUAUGAAGCCUCAGAAAGUGGUGUAUGACUUGUCCUUAAGUUACAACAUGAUUACAAUUGGGUACCUGGCAACUAGCUUGCAUUUAUGACCGUUGCAGUGUCUUGCUGCCAUGUGAUCAUGAUUUGCAACCUUCCCGGCUGACUUCUGGCAAGCAAAAUUAAUUGGGGGAAGCCUAUUAAUUGUUCAGUGCCAGUAAAACUAUUUAGUUUUACUGGCACUGAAUAGUUUUAUUCAGUCAAACUAUUUACUAAAUAGUUUGACUGAAUAUUUAUAUUUAGUAAAUAUCCCCCUGCAACUCAGACUAAUCUGAGCACAAUCAAGCCCCCACCCAAACAGGACACACCCCCAGCCAAUCAGAGCACAAAAAAAAACCCAUCGAAUCAGAGCACAGCCAAGCUCCCACCCAAUCAGUUCAACCCCCCACUAGCAGUUAAAAGGAAGAAACAGCUGCGAUCACACAUUGCUCCCACAAGCAUGAAGCUGAAGCCUGAAGAUGACGAAUGAGACUUCAUCGAAACGUCGCCAAGACACUUCCAAUUUUACACCGGAGAAAACCCGAACAACCAAAGACCUACAAAUAUAUAUAUAUAUUUAUAUAUAAAUAUUACAUAUAAAUAUUUACAGAUCCCUCACAUCCUGGACUGUUUCAACUCCUACCCUCAAAACGACACUAUAGAGCACUGCACACCAGAACAAUUAGACACAAGAACAGUUUUUUCCCGAAGGCCAUCACUCUGCUAAACAAAUAAUCCCCUCAACACUGUCAAACUAUUUACUAAAUCUGCACUACUAUUAAUCUUCUCAUCAUUCCCAUCACCAAUCUCUUUCCACUUAUGACUGUAUGACUGUAACUUUGUUGCUGGUAAUCCUUAUGAUUUAUAUUGAUAUUGAUUGUUCCUGAUUGCUUAUUUGUACCCUAUGCUUAUCAUUAAGUGUUAUAUCAUUAAGUAUUAAAUUGUACCCUAUGACCAUCAUUUGUGUUGUAAAUGUUGUACCUUGAUGAAGGUAUCUUUUCUUUUAUGUACACUGAGAGUAUAUGCACCAAGACAAAUUCCUUGUGUGUCCAAUCACACCUGGC